This 420-nucleotide ribosomal RNA is filed under the name Triticum aestivum (bread wheat). Its description in RNAcentral is "partial small subunit ribosomal RNA". The record is from RNAcentral. Lineage: Eukaryota; Viridiplantae; Streptophyta; Magnoliopsida; Poales; Poaceae.
GGCCUUAGACAAGGGGAUCCGGCGUCCCCGUUGCUCUUUAAUUUCGUUGCGGAUGCUCUCUCUCAUAUCCUUUCUCGAGCAGCCAAUGCUGGGCACAUUACGCCUGUUAGUUCUCACCUUAUCCACAAUGGCAUCACUCACCUUCAAUACGCGGACGACACCAUUAUUAUGGUUGAGCUUAAUGAGGACAGCCUCACGAACCUGAAAUUUCUCCUCUUAUGCUUCAAAGCGCUUUCGGGUCUUAAAAUCAACUUUCCAAAGAGCAAAGUUAUUGUGACUGGGGUGCCUGAUUUAGAAGCUCAGAGAGUGGCUCAUCUUCUCAAUUGUUCUCUAGGGUCUUAUCCUUUCAAAUACCUGGGCCUACCAAUCUCCGCUCUCAAGCUCUUGGCUAAAGAUUUUGCCCCGACAGUGACUAAAGUA